AAAUUGAAGAGUUUGAUCAUGGCUCAGAUUGAACGCUGGCGGCAGGCCUAACACAUGCAAGUCGAACGGUAGCACAGAGAGCUUGCUCUCGGGUGACGAGUGGCGGACGGGUGAGUAAUGUCUGGGAAACUGCCCGAUGGAGGGGGAUAACUACUGGAAACGGUAGCUAAUACCGCAUAACGUCGCAAGACCAAAGUGGGGGACCUUCGGGCCUCACACCAUCGGAUGUGCCCAGAUGGGAUUAGCUAGUAGGUGGGGUAACGGCUCACCUAGGCGACGAUCCCUAGCUGGUCUGAGAGGAUGACCAGCCACACUGGAACUGAGACACGGUCCAGACUCCUACGGGAGGCAGCAGUGGGGAAUAUUGCACAAUGGGCGCAAGCCUGAUGCAGCCAUGCCGCGUGUAUGAAGAAGGCCUUCGGGUUGUAAAGUACUUUCAGCGAGGAGGAAGGCGUUGUGGUUAAUAACCACAGCGAUUGACGUUACUCGCAGAAGAAGCACCGGCUAACUCCGUGCCAGCAGCCGCGGUAAUACGGAGGGUGCAAGCGUUAAUCGGAAUUACUGGGCGUAAAGCGCACGCAGGCGGUUUGUUAAGUCAGAUGUGAAAUCCCCGGGCUCAACCUGGGAACUGCAUUUGAAACUGGCAAGCUUGAGUCUCGUAGAGGGGGGUAGAAUUCCAGGUGUAGCGGUGAAAUGCGUAGAGAUCUGGAGGAAUACCGGUGGCGAAGGCGGCCCCCUGGACAAAGACUGACGCUCAGGUGCGAAAGCGUGGGGAGCAAACAGGAUUAGAUACCCUGGUAGUCCACGCCGUAAACGAUGUCUACUUGGAGGUUGUGCCCUUGAGGCGUGGCUUCCGGAGCUAACGCGUUAAGUAGACCGCCUGGGGAGUACGGCCGCAAGGUUAAAACUCAAAUGAAUUGACGGGGGCCCGCACAAGCGGUGGAGCAUGUGGUUUAAUUCGAUGCAACGCGAAGAACCUUACCUGGUCUUGACAUCCACGGAAGUUUUCAGAGAUGAGAAUGUGCCUUCGGGAACCGUGAGACAGGUGCUGCAUGGCUGUCGUCAGCUCGUGUUGUGAAAUGUUGGGUUAAGUCCCGCAACGAGCGCAACCCUUAUCCUUUGUUGCCAGCGGUUAGGCCGGGAACUCAAAGGAGACUGCCAGUGAUAAACUGGAGGAAGGUGGGGAUGACGUCAAGUCAUCAUGGCCCUUACGACCAGGGCUACACACGUGCUACAAUGGCGCAUACAAAGAGAAGCGACCUCGCGAGAGCAAGCGGACCUCAUAAAGUACGUCGUAGUCCGGAUUGGAGUCUGCAACUCGACUCCAUGAAGUCGGAAUCGCUAGUAAUCGUGGAUCAGAAUGCCACGGUGAAUACGUUCCCGGGCCUUGUACACACCGCCCGUCACACCAUGGGAGUGGGUUGCAAAAGAAGUAGGUAGCUUAACCUUCGGGAGGGCGCUUACCACUUUGUGAUUCAUGACUGGGGUGAAGUCGUAACAAGGUAACCGUAGGGGAACCUGCGGUUGGAUCACCUCCUUACCUUAAAGAAGC
This 1552-nucleotide ribosomal RNA is filed under the name Salmonella enterica subsp. enterica serovar Kentucky. RNAcentral describes it as "bacterial SSU rRNA". It matches the Rfam family "Bacterial small subunit ribosomal RNA". The record is from RNAcentral. Lineage: Bacteria; Pseudomonadati; Pseudomonadota; Gammaproteobacteria; Enterobacterales; Enterobacteriaceae.